Molecule: unclassified non-coding RNA, 473 nt
Filed under: uncultured fungus
Lineage: Eukaryota; Fungi
Description: partial contains ITS1, 5.8S rRNA and ITS2
Source: RNAcentral
ACGAGACGAUUAGAAGCCGACCCAUUACAUUGUUCACAAUGGCGUAGAUAAUUAUCACACCAAAUGCUAGACAACAAGGGCCCCGCUAAUACAUUUAAGGAGAGCAGACUUCUGAGCAGCCUGCAACAACUCCCAAAAUCCAAGCCUAUUCAACAAAAAGCUGAAAAGGUUGAGAAUUUCAUGACACUCAAACAGGCAUGCUCCUCGGAAUACCAAGGAGUGCAAGGUGCGUUCAAAGAUUCGAUGAUUCACUGAAUUCUGCAAUUCACAUUACUUAUCGCAUUUCGCUGCGUUCUUCAUCAAUGCGAGAGCCAAGAGAUCCAUUGUUGAAAGUUGUAUAAGGUUUACUGGCAAUUAAGCCAACCAAAUAACAUUCCAUGACAUACUGAGUGUAUAAUAAAAUGCAUAGGCUGGAAAAAUACAAGGAAAGCCUGGCUUUUGCAGCACGGCAGUCCUCAAACCGAGCUUCCUUG